AGAGUUUGAUCCUGGCUCAGAACGAACGCUGGCGGCAUGCCUAACACAUGCAAGUCGAACGAAGCCUUCGGGCUUAGUGGCGCACGGGUGCGUAACGCGUGGGAAUCUGCCCUUGGGUUCGGAAUAACAGUUAGAAAUGACUGCUAAUACCGGAUGAAGUCUUCGGACCAAAGAUUUAUCGCCCAGGGAUGAGCCCGCGUAGGAUUAGGUAGUUGGUGGGGUAAAGGCCUACCAAGCCGACGAUCCUUAGCUGGUCUGAGAGGAUGAUCAGCCACACUGGGACUGAGACACGGCCCAGACUCCUACGGGAGGCAGCAGUGGGGAAUAUUGGACAAUGGGCGAAAGCCUGAUCCAGCCAAUGCCGCGUGAGUGAUGAAGGCCUUAGGGUUGUAAAGCUCUUUUACCAGGGAUGAUAAUGACAGUACCUGGAGAAUAAGCUCCGGCCAACUCCGUGCCAGCCGCAGC
Molecule: ribosomal RNA, 465 nt
Filed under: uncultured bacterium
Lineage: Bacteria
Description: bacterial SSU rRNA
Rfam family: Bacterial small subunit ribosomal RNA
Source: RNAcentral